GACGAACGCUGGCGGCGUGCUUAACACAUGCAAGUCGAACGGAAAGGCCCUGCUUUUGUGGGGUGCUCGAGUGGCGAACGGGUGAGUAACACGUGAGUAACCUGCCCUUGACUUUGGGAUAACUUCAGGAAACUGGGGCUAAUACCGGAUAGGAGCUCCUGCUGCAUGGUGGGGGUUGGAAAGUUUCGGCUGUUGGGGAUGGACUCGCGGCUUAUCAGCUUGUUGGUGGGGUAGUGGCUUACCAAGGCUUUGACGGGUAGCCGGCCUGAGAGGGUGACCGGCCACAUUGGGACUGAGAUACGGCCCAGACUGCUACGGGAGGCAGCAGUGGGGAAUAUUGCACAAUGGGCGGAAGCCUGAUGCAGCAACGCCGCGUGCGGGAUGACGGCCUUCGGGUUGUAAACCGCUUUCGCCUGUGACGAAGCGUGAGUGACGGUAAUGGGUAAAGAAGCACCGGCUAACUACGUG
RNAcentral lists this ribosomal RNA (468 nucleotides) under uncultured bacterium. Its description in RNAcentral is "partial 16S ribosomal RNA". It matches the Rfam family "Bacterial small subunit ribosomal RNA", at positions 28 to 507 of the family's 1533-position model. The record is from RNAcentral.